This 436-nucleotide ribosomal RNA is filed under the name Gordonia sp. SA_22. RNAcentral describes it as "bacterial SSU rRNA". It matches the Rfam family "Bacterial small subunit ribosomal RNA", at positions 60 to 510 of the family's 1533-position model. Lineage: Bacteria; Bacillati; Actinomycetota; Actinomycetes; Mycobacteriales; Gordoniaceae. The record is from RNAcentral.
AGUCGAACGGAAAGGCUCCUUCGGGGGUACUCGAGUGGCGAACGGGUGAGUAACACGUGGGUGAUCUGCCCUGGACUUCGGGAUAAGCCUGGGAAACUGGGUCUAAUACCGGAUAUUCAUCUCCUGUUUCAUGGUGGGGGGUGGAAAGCUUUUGCGGUUCAGGAUGGGCCCGCGGCCUAUCAGCUUGUUGGUGCGGUAAUGGCGUACCAAGGCGACGACGGGUAGCCGACCUGAGAGGGUGAUCGGCCACACUGGGACUGAGACACGGCCCAGACUCCUACGGGAGGCAGCAGUGGGGAAUAUUGCACAAUGGGCGCAAGCCUGAUGCAGCGACGCCGCGUGGGGGAUGACGGCCUUCGGGUUGUAAACUCCUUUCGCCAGGGACGAAGCGCAAGUGACGGUACCUGGAGAAGAAGCACCGGCCAACUACGUGCCA